AGUGAACGCUGGCGGUAGGCCUAACACAUGCAAGUCGAACGGCAGCACAGUAAGAGCUUGCUCUUACGGGUGGCGAGUGGCGGACGGGUGAGGAAUACAUCGGAAUCUACUUUUUCGUGGGGGAUCACGUAGGGAAACUUACGCUAAUACCGCAUACGACCUACGGGUGAAAGCAGGGGAUCUUCGGACCUUGCGCGGUUGAAUGAGCCGCUUUCGGAUUAGCUAGUUGGGUGGGUAAAGGCCCACCAAGGCGACGAUCCGUAGCUGGUCUGAGAGGAUGGUCAGCCACACUGGAACUGAGACACGGUCCAGACUCCUACGGGAGGCAGCAGUGGGGAAUAUUGGACAAUGGGCGCAAGUCUGAUCCAGUCAUACCGCGUGUGUGAAGAAGGCGUUCGGGUUGUAAAGCCCUUUUGUUGGGAAAGAAAAGCAGCAGGUUAAUACCCCGCUGUUCUGACGGUACCCAAAGAAUAAGCACCGGCUAACUUCGUG
This 492-nucleotide ribosomal RNA is filed under the name uncultured bacterium. RNAcentral's name for it is "partial 16S ribosomal RNA". It matches the Rfam family "Bacterial small subunit ribosomal RNA", at positions 29 to 507 of the family's 1533-position model. The record is from RNAcentral.